This 960-nucleotide ribosomal RNA is filed under the name Capillidium lobatum. RNAcentral's name for it is "eukaryotic LSU rRNA". It matches the Rfam family "Eukaryotic large subunit ribosomal RNA", at positions 56 to 952 of the family's 3401-position model. Lineage: Eukaryota; Fungi; Entomophthoromycota; Entomophthoromycetes; Entomophthorales; Capillidiaceae. The record is from RNAcentral.
AACAGGCAGAUUACUAAGAUUCCCUUAGUAAUGGCGAAUGAACUGGGAAAAGCUCAAAUUUAAAAUCAUUUUAUUUUAUAAAAUGAAUUGUAGUUUAAAAAUAUAAAUUUCAAAAUAAUAUUAUAUUAAUUUAAUUGGAAAAUUAAAACAUAGAGGGUUAAAUUCCCGUAUAUAUAUAAUUAUUAUAUAAAAAUUUUAUAUUAAAGAGUCAGAUUGUUUGGGACUACAGUCUAAAUUAGGAGGUAAAUUUCUUUUAAGGCUAAAUAUUGGCAAGAGACCGAUAGCGAACAAGUACCGUAAGGGAAAGAUGAAAUAGAACCUUGUAAAGGGGUUUAAAAAGAAAGUGAAAUCGUUAAGAGGGAAACAUUUAAAACUUGAAAUAAAUAAUAAUGAAGAUAUAUCGAAAUAUAUUGAAUUUAUUAUUUUAAAUAUCAAUAAUUAUUAAAUUUUUAUAAAAAUUAUUAUAAUAAACAAACUUUAAAUUUCGAUUUAAAAUUAAAAAUUAUAAAUAAUUAUAAAAAUUUGAUAUUAAAUAUAAUCAUUUAUUACAUUUUCAUAUUUUUAAAAUUAGAUAAUAAUUUUUUUAAAUUACUAUUUAAUAUUUUAAAUACAAAUGAUAUGAUUUUUAUAUUGAUAAUAGAGUUUUAAAUGACCCGUCUUGAAACACGGACCAAGGAGUCUAACAUAUUGGCGAGUACUAUAAUUUUAAAAAUUAUAAUGCGUAAUGAAAGUAAAUUCAAGGUAGGAAUUUUUAUUAAUGCACUAUCGACCGAUUUCAUUAAGAUUCUUCUUAGAAAUUUGAGUUAGAGCAAAUAUGUUGGGACCCGAAAGAUGGUGAACUAUGCUUGAAUAGGGUGAAGCCAGAGGAAACUCUGGUGGAAGCUCGUAGCGAUUCUGACGUGCAAAUCGAUCGUAAAAUUUGGGUAUAGGGCGAAAGACUAAUCGAACCAUCUGGGAACC